GAGCAACCUAAGAGCAGCAACUGGCGGAUCUUUGGACCUGGAUGGAUACAGAAAUUGAGGGGGUAAAACAUUACGCCUCCCCUCCCCCCAUCUUUGACAGCGUUUAUAUGAAACGGUUAUCGACGUAGGUGCAGUAAGUUGAAAAGUCCUCAAUCAUGAUAUAUCGGAACGCAAAAGUUCUCGUUGCACGAGAAUUUGUACACGGAUCGUGACGCGUGUUUCAAUUGCUCCACGGUCGAAAUAUCGAGGACCGUCGAUCAUUUUAACAGCGUUAUUGCCUCGACCCGCCGAUGUUAAUGGUCGUUAUCUAAAUUCGUACGCGGAGGCAAUCGCGUGUAACAUGCGACACUCUAGCGGACCUCGCGCCACGAUGUAUCAAAAUGUCUGGACGAUCAUCGCCAAGGUGGAUGAUCGCCAAAGUAAAUCGUCGCGAACGAACGACUUGCGCGAGUUGCAUUGAACCGUCUUACGUCAACGUGUGCGUUGACGUAAUUUCGGCCGGUCUCGCGACACGUUCGACGUGCUUUUUCGGACGCGCAUUUCGGGGGUGAGUUUCACAGACGCAAAGCGUCUGUACACGAGGAAUGUUUAUCGCUCGGACGGAUUACAGGUCUCCACGUCGGCGCGUAGAUGGCGGUAGAAUGCGCUCUCGGAUUUAAAAGUUACCGUUCACGGAAUUUCAACGGAGCGAGACAUCGAUCCGCCGAUUUCGUCGCCUAAUCCCGUGGGCACGAAAUCCGGAUAAGAAGUAGCCGGAAGUUCUUAAUCCUCCAUCGGUUGCGAUGUGUCGGGCAACAAAGUCGGUUGCAGCGUGCACUUCUGCGAGAUAAAUCGUAGACUAAAGUACGAAGCCGAGAGGGUGCAAUGUACAGGAACUGUCAAAAGUGUCAAAGUGAAUAAACCGAACAAUUGUUAUCCUUCGGUACACAUUUAUGUCCCAUUCGGUCCUUAUUGAUCCGCGUAUAAGAGUACUUAUAUCGUAACGAAUUUAUUUCCUCCUUCACUCAUCUCAUUAAUUCACUCCAAAAAGCAGAAACAUUUUGCUUUUCAUAAGAGAGACACAAACAAACGCAGGGUGAUGAAGCUCGAAAAUGAAAACGUUUGCCGGAUACUAUCAUCGCUCGAUCGCUUGUCAAUUUGCUCAGGAGAGAAUUCCCGCUUUCCGUACUUCGCAUCUCCCGCCGGCGAAUUUUAGGAUUAACGAUUUAAAUAGUUUCGUGCGUGUCGCGACGGCGAUAAUUGAAAUUCAUUGUUCCGCGACAUUUUCGGGGCCAAAGUACGCGCGCGCUCUCUCUUCCUACCCCCUCCGGAAAACCGGGGUUGGUUUUUUUCACGCCGCGUUCGCCCCGUUUUUCCGCUGGUCGUCGGAUUACGGACGGCCGCGUUUUAUCGGUCGGCCCGCGGUAAUUAACAACGGACGAUAAUUAAUUCGAUUGGAUCUCGCGCAGCACCGUCGAUUCGAUGCGUUUCGCCAACGGCGAUGCCGGAGAGGGAUGCGGUGCGAGUCGAUAUACGCGCCGCGCCGACAAUCCCGGCUUAUGACGCCUCUCGCCUCGCUCCGCGGCUCUUUGAGUAGCCUUUCAAAAAGGGCUCAAUAUCGUGAUAUUAAAACGCACGAUAAUCGCACGGCACGUUGAGGUCUCCGGUGAAAUAAUAGACGGCUCGGUCGUUUGAUCGAGCGCCGCGUAAAAUCGCGUUGGCCGACUCUCUCGAUCGAAAGUGCCAGUCACCAUCUUCGAUUCGACGAAUGAAAGAAAAUAGGGCAGAAACGAGGAACGAGGAUCGAGAAAAGAAAAGACAUUUGUUAUUUCUUACGCACUUUCGAACGAAGACCAGGAUCUUUUUGCGCACGCAUACACAAAGACAGAAAUACGUUUCAGAAGUAUCUUCUGUCUUUGUAUGCAGGAAACAUAGAUACGUUAGUAGCUAUUGAGUUAAGUACGACCGACAAUAAAUCUGGCAUGUGUGAUAGAAAUUUCGCGAGGGACAAUAAUUCGUUUCCGAUCGCUGUUAUGUGUAAAAGCGGUAAAUCACAGAAAUCACAGAAGAGAACGCGAGGCAGAAAAUUGUUUGCUUCGUUAUUUCGUGUAAUAUUUAAUUAACAGCCGUGUAUUGCAUUUGCAACAAAUGGAUGCCAUCUCGAUAAUGAACCUUAUCAAUUAUUACUGCAGCCGAUGAGUCGAUAAAGUAUCUAUACAGAGCGUAACGCGAAGCUUCUCUUUUUGCGAACACUUGUGUUUUGCACAGUACGAUCAGAAUCCUCUCGAUGAAAAUGAGUAAACUAGCAUAAAUAAAUCUAAUUUCUAGAUAUUUAUCGUGCUUCAUUUACGGAGUAAUUGCGAUUGCAUUUAUGAGAUUGAAGAGUCUGGAACGGUAUUUCAAAUGCAGCAUUUUCGUUCGUAAAGUGGAUAACAGGCGCCGCGUUAUUAAGUUCCAAAAAAAACGGAUUUUGUGUGGGAAUCGAUAUGGAACAAUUAGUAGUUAAUAGAUAAUUGCCGCUGGAGCUCGAACCAAAUUGCGCUCAUUGCGCUUUGCUGGAUAUAAUGACACGCACGAUGCACGUACACGGUGGCGACUUUGAUCAGGUUUUUCACUCACAUAAAUUGAAUUCGGAAUUAUUUUUUUCAUUUCCAUAUUAAAUAUCUUGUAAAUAAAGCUUUUAAUUGAAUCAUUUCUUUUUUUGAGGUUGUCUGAAUAAAAAGAUCCAGUCAUUCAAUUGCAUUAUUAAUUCUUGAACAUGAAAAUUCUCUUGGCGGUGCAUAAUUUCAAAUAUAAUUUUAUGCGUUGAAAUAAUUAUUACUUGAAUUGCGAACUACGCGGUGUGUAAUGUUUUGAAUGGCGAAUGCAACUUUAUACAGAGACACCCCAUAUGUCCGUUGAUACGCGAUCGGUGCAUUAGCGGCAUUACCAUAUGGAAUCGUGAACGGAGUCCCAGAGAUUUUGCCGCGAUCGCAAUUUGCAUGAUUGAUUGCCCUAAAGCUCCUCCGGCUUUUAGCUCCUAGGUGAUACUCUUGUUUCCAUUAGGAAUUAGUCGCUCCAUAGAAUGCAAAAUGCAUGCGCGUUUAAUUUCGCGAUUGCAACGCGUCCAAUCCGUUCGCGAAUUCCUAAACCGCUACGUGUUCCAAACAAAAAAAGGAGAAAAUUACUAUAUCGUUGAUUUGAUAUAAUUGCGUAAUUUAUACAAAGCAAUAUUUGAAAAGACGCAAAUAUUACGUUAUUUAACAAAUUUUGAUGAAAUUUCGUGACAUGAAUUUCGGAAAAAAAGAUUCGUUACUGGUAGAGAGAUGAUUUCCUUUGUUAAACACGAGGAUUCUUUCAUAUAUUUUGAAAUAAGAACAGAAUUGUAGAAUUAAAACGAAAAGAAAAGCGGAAUAAUCUGAAUAAUCCGCACCGAAGACCCGUUUAACUUUAUCGAGCGAAGGGACGCGAUAAACUUCUUAUCUCAAUCUUUCCCCUCAUCUUUUUUUCAGCUUUCUCCGCAAUUGCCCUCGUCACCGUAAUUACUCUCAAUGAUAAUAACCAAGUGACCACCGGAUGUACGCGAACGGUACGCAGAGUAACUCCAAUUUGAUAAAUUUCGAUCUGCGAAAACUCGAGGCUAGGUAAAAGUGUCCACUAGAUGCAAAGAUUUCAAGAUCGCCCUGAAAAUCACGUUUUAAUCCGAGACGCACUUUCGAGACCGAGACUUUAAUGAAUCUGCGCGGCGAAACGACGGGAACGGCGAGCAGGCACUUCGAGAGCGGUGAGUUGAGGCGAUUUUUUUUUCCCCGGACAUCGCUCUCACGUUGCGCGUCGAGGCGUCCUCGUGGGACUCGAAGGAAGGAACGGGCGCGUUCGCGACGGCGUUCCUCCGUGUCCGCGUGCCACCCACCCCGUGUGUCCUGGUGUCUUGUUCCCGUAUUACAUUCUUGUCGCGGGUAAGACAAGUAAGACAGAAACUGCAGCCGUAAUCCGAGGCGACACGAUCCGGUAAUGCCGUCGCACCGGCUGUAAUUUCAGAUUGGCAUUCGCCCGCGAUUUAAUCGCGCCUCGACGUCGCGCUUGUUCGCCCGCGUCUCGUGAAUUAGCUCGACAGUACGCGUCGCGGCGCCCGCUGCCAUUCACUCGAUUUUCGAAUUUCGCCCACGAUUUCCAUCUGCUCCUCUCUGCGACGGUAACGAGAUCGCGGAAAUCGGAUUACCGCACCGUCGGCCAACACGCUUCGGAAAUGCUCGCGCGGAAGAAGAACCAGGAGAUUUUGCGAAUUGUGUACAUUCCUUCUUUGCAGGGAUUACUGUUAAUGGAUGAGAAAGUCGACGCGUGAUCGUAACUCUUUUCGUAUAGACGCGGUUUUCGAUAGUCAGUUGCGUUUCCGAGAUUUAUCGAUAGAUUAUAUAAUAAUGAUUCAUUUUUAAGUUCACAGUAUGACUGAAUUUUCCGAAAUUUCCGGAAGACAAGUUAGAGUGCCGAUAAAGGGCAAUAAAAAGGAAAGAUCUUCAUCUUUUUAUUUGACGCACAUUUUCGCUAGAUAUUCCGCUACGGAUUUGAUUUUACGAGAUUCUUUUACGACGCAGUGAUGCAAGGAAAAAAAUUCUCUGCUAGCAAGACCCGAAUGUAAUAUCGAUGUUUUGUCUCGUGACACUUUAUUACAGCAUGCAUCCAAUUACGAGGCGGUACGCGUAAGCACGUAAAACACGUCCGCGGGAGCCAUCUCGUCCCUACGCGCUUUGGCCACGAGGCUCGUUACGUCGCAGAUUAUUUUUUAUGUUGUAAUUAUGAAAAACUGUUAUGCUUUACAAUGGCGCACGUAGACCGCCGUUGCAGGACCCUUACACGCAUUUUGUUGCAUUUUGUAUAUCUUGAUAAUAUAAUUUUUCUAAUUAACAUCAUGGAGCAAUUCAAAUUCAGUAAAAAGACAUUGACUUUUUGUAUUAAGCCUUUCGAUCAAUUACAUUUACGAGAUAACUAUCACUCAAGAUAAGCACACAAAACUUGUAAACUUGCUAAUACGCAAUUCUACGAUUGAGAUUCCAGGGGUUUUUACGAGAGUCCGUCGAAACCUGUAAAAUUUUCACUGCAAUCGAGUCGAAAAUCGAAGGCGAAAUCCGUUUAGGGAUUUUCCAUUUCUCGAUGAUACCAACAAUCUCGUGUCGUGAAAUCGCGGCGUCUCGAAGCGUACGGAGUCACGGGAGCGGUGAUACGAUACGCGCAGCUCGUAAAAAAUAAAUCGCGGGCAUCACGUUGCCGAGGACGACGACGACGACGACGUCGUCAAUCCGCGUCGCACUCUUUCGCCGACCCGGCCGGCGGAUUAACCGGAUAAGUCUUAAACGUUUCCGUGCGCGCAAUCCCGUGACUUACGCGGCGGAUGUCGAAGCGGACGCGAGCGGGUACUAACCGGGGCAUCCUGACGAGCGGAUUAAACGACGGUACGUGCUCCGCUCGUGUUUUGAUCGUCGAAGUAGCCGUCGGGAUACGAGCACGGGGUGCAACGCGUACCCGCGCCGCUCAAGAGGACCCUGAAGAAGGAGAGGGCCAGGGAGAGAGCAGCACGGGAAGGGAGACAGAAUAGCGUUUGUUGUCCCGGAGCAGCGCUCUAUAAAAGCUAUCACGGUGCGGAAACACGCGGUGAUAAGCGAUAUAAACGUAGCAUAAACGACGGCCGUAUUCUCGCUUCCAUUUAAUUUCGUAAAUAUCGCGAGAUUUAGUUGGCGUUUUACCCGGGAGGAAAAUUGGGACGCGAGCACCUGUGCGCAAUCUGUUGCAAGAAAGUAAGCGACGUUCGAAGAAUAGUGAUGGAAUAACUUGCGAUGCGAAUGGUAGAUUCUUCUUUUUCUCCUUACAUCGAUCGUGCACAUUUCUACUUUGGUAAUAACGCAUUUGUUGAAAGUGCAAACGAUCCGCUGGAGAAUCCGUAAGAGACACUCGUCAACGAUACUGACGAUAUUCGGAAUGUUUACGGGCGGAUAAAUUCGUAGGGAAUGAAACGGGGGUGCGGACGCGGCUCACAUGAUCCAAAUCCUCGGCGUUCCGUCGACAACGUGUUCACCUGGAAAGUAAAGGAAAGCGCGGGCGUCGUGGGAGAGCGCGGUCGCUCUCCGCUUAACCUGUCGGCUUAGCGCGAGAGUUCCGCAGGAUAGAUUGCUUUAAUUUAAGUGGAGUUAGGCUAACAGCUCGAACCCCCGGCACGCAUACUACCCCCGUGAGUUGGGUUACCGACGGCGAGUCCGGCGUCCGGGCUUAAUUCGACCCUCCUCCGCCCUUUCGCUCUGCCGCCCUCCCGUCGCUCUCUCCCGUCCUUCGCUUUCACGGAGGUCUCUUCUUUGCCCCUUCUGACAGCUCGGGCUUAACCCCCUCCCUUCCAGAUUAGUCCUACACUCGCGAGAGGGCAUGGAGGCCGGGUGAGUGGGCGCGGAGAAGGGCUGAAAAGGGGCUCGAAAGGUGGCCGGGGACUAUGUGGAUCAUUCGAUAUCCACUCUCGCCGUUAAGGCAAAAUCGAACCUGGCCGACUGCAAUAUCCGCAUCCACUCGAACCCUCCUCCCCCGCUGCCGCCGCCACCGUCUCCUCCCUUCUCCUUCAUCCCCCUUACGAAACCGCCGGCUUUCAUGCUCUCGUCUCGCUCCGUGCCCGCUUACCCCACUCUCUUCGGGCUUUUUUCACCCCGGCCCUUUCUCCCGCCCCCUUUUCCAUCUUCUCGUUCCGUUCUAUUUCGACGGUGGCGGUCGUUACCGCCGCGAGCUCUGUGCAGACUCUCUCCCCGAUUCGGCUCUCAAGAGCCCGCCUCGCCGAGUGAAUUCCGUACGCGGGCUCGUAACAAUCGAGCCGUCGCUCGGAAAUCAGAGUAGUGCGAGUCGUUCGGAUUAAGUUCGUGUCGAUUAAGGAUGCAAUUUGACGACGGAAAUCGUGAACGUCGAGUGAUCUUACAGCGCGUACAACGACUCGAGAGAUGUCGAUUUAUUAACAAUAUUUCGCAUAUUUACCGUGACAGCUACGUAAGCAAUGUUAUCAGAUUUAAUUGGUAUCUAACAAUUCAGAAAUUGUGUCACGUAAGAACGACUGAAAUGUUUCAGAAUUAAUCCCGUUAUGAUAUAUCUCGCAUAUGUUUCAUAUGCAUCGUAUCGUUUAUGUAUAAUUUCUUGCGUAAUUUAUAUAAUAAUUUAUGCGGUAAUUAAUCCUUAUCUAAUUAUCAUCGUGAAUUAUACUAUGACUGUUUUCUCUCUCUCUCUCUUUCUCUCUUUCUCUUUCAAACGAUACAUAUCACUCCGAUUUUCAACUCAGCUCAAGUGUUUGCGCAACGAGAACCGCGUAAAUUUUUCAGCGGUGUGAGAAUCGUCCGUAUCGGCAUUCAUCUGUAUCGGUAGUUCGCGCGUAUCGAUUUUGCCCACGAAAAUCCCGCGGGAAUUAAAUAUUUAUACAGCGAAUUUGGGCACGGCGCCUCGUUGAAUGUGAAACGCGAGCUCGCGCGCGCACACCCGGAAAUAGCCGGAACGAAAAGUGCAAUGAAAUGUCUCGCGCUGACGUGCACGGUAAUCUCGCCUCUGAAAAUAGCGUCUAAUCCGGGAUGCUAAAUCAGACGGUAUAAAUUAAAAUAGUUUAACAAGCGUACGUAAAGUUAUUUGAUGCAAAUGCGUGACAAGUUGGACAGAACCAUUUGUGAAAAGAUUAUUUUCCGAUUUACAAAUGUUAUUAACUCUGUCGAUAUUUAUUUCUAUUUUUCAUCUUUAUUCGGCAAAACUUCCCUUUUGCGAAUAACAAUUAAGUUCCUGCUUUUACCGUUAUUUGCACACCAUGUCCCGAAUAUCUGCGCUAUUCAUCCAAGAUAGGAAACAAUUACGGGAGUUCAAGGACUGAAUGCUAAAUUAUAAAUACGACAAACAGUUAAAUAAUAAUUAAAAGCUCAUUUGUCAUUCGCGGUCGAUAUCGAUGGCGCUAUUACCAUCAGUUUCAUGGAAUUAUCAUAGCAAAAAGUCAUUCAAAAAAUAUAACGUAUAAAAAGAUGAAAAUCGACAGCCUGACCGACAUAACUCGCCGUCGUAAAUCAAACGGUAUUCGCGAACGCACAUUUAACCGGGUGCUAUACACGGCAUAAAUAUUUCAAUCCCCGGCAGGGCAAGGCCGACAUUUGUCGCGCGUCGGUUGACACGAGCAAAAUUCACAAAUUACAGUUUCCGAGGCUUAGAUUUGAAGGCGGGUAGAGCGCGGGGCUUUAGGGCAAUUUUUUUCUGGCAACGUUCCACCCCCGUGGAUCAUGGGCGCGAUUGGAGGGGAGGAUUGGAGGGGUGGCGACGAUUCAGGAAAUGAAACCAUUAACUGCACCAUCCCCGUUACUUGUUUAACAUUUUUGCAGCAAAAGCUCGCUAUAUCAUCGCUGUAUUUGGAAGUGUUUUCGGAUCGGUCGCGUCAGCUUUCAGUUCCGUUAUCUGGAUGAAAUACAUUGAAAAGUGCAAACAUUGUGAGAUCAACAACAAAUGUGAAUGGAAAUGCACGAGAAUUUUGAAACGCCGUGCGCGAAUUUAGCGGUAUAAUCGAUUUUGCUGAAGCUGUACUUUUAACUGAGUUUCCCUUCUUGUAAAAAGCUAAGAAUAGUUUUCAAAAACAAAGCGAUAAUUAUUUAUUCGAAUUAUUAAUGGCCUAAUUUAAUAGUUUAACGUUUCCGUGCUCAGCUUUAAAAUCUAUUUUUUCUGUUUUAAUUUUUCAUCACAAGCUUUUUCACUCGUUCUCUCUCUGAUCCAUGGUACUAUACCAAUGAUACUGCGUUACAGCAUAAAAUGAAAUUCCUCACAUUUUGCCUAACAGCUGGCUCUACUCACAAAGAGUUCUUAUGUCACAGUUUAAUUGAUGGUAUAAAAAAAGUCUUAAGUGCCCUGAAUAUUGUCUCAGGAUGUCCGCGUUACAUUAAUUCACUCGAGGGACAAGUGAUAAUUUUUGCAUUUAUUUUGUACAUUUUUAUAUUUGACAUCUUUAUCGUGUAUAUUCACGAAAAAUACAUUCCCAGUAUAGUUUCAUGAAUUUGGCGCGCAAAGAUCUUUUUCAAUGAAAACACAAAUUUUUAUAUAUAAUAGAAUUUUAUUAUUAAUAAAUAAUAAAAUUUCCGGUGACUCUUUUUCACAUGUAGCAAGUGAAAGCCAUCUCGACAAAUUUAGAGACGAGACAGUACUUCGCGCGCGAUAAUCAAAUCGGCGCGAAGAGAUAUCAUAACCACCGUUCUCCGAAGACCGAAUCAUUCGCAUGAGAUGCGAGGGGUAGCACGCAGAGGGAUGAUCCACCAUCGGCGCGGCAACAUUAAUUCACUAUGCUUUGCUAGCGGCGAUCAUUAUGAGCCGCGUCGUGACGUAAUCGCGUCAUGACAAAUGACAUUUGUUCGCUGCUUUCGCGAUAAUUUAUUUAACGAACGAAUUGGGUCAUUACGAAAACGCGUGAAUUAUUCACGAGGGGGAUUUUGAAAAAUAAAAUGCGGGACGGUGCGAUUCUCUCGGGUGUAAUAUAACGUCACGCUGAUAUUUUAUGUAAUUUCUCUUUCUCUUUUUAUGGGUCAGUCUUAAAUUUUCUACAAUAUGCGAUUAUCGUGACGUGUCCUUCAUUAACGUGUCUGUUAUUAAUGUAAAAUUUAUCAGUUCUAUUCUAGAAUAAUCAUAAAUAUUGAAAAUCGAUAGAUUGUACAUCAAUUUAAUGAUUUGGAAACUUGGUAAUUUGCGCAAUUGUGCGAACAUUAAGAAUUACAAUUCACUCUAAGGCUUGGAAAAUGAGAAAGAGAUGAAAACACAGAGAUGUAGAUAUAAAUUUUGCAAUUAUCUCGUACGAUACAAGCUGCGUAAUUAGCUCAGCUCGCAUGAAAUUCUCCGCAACUUUAAUACGCGAAUAAAAUUUGUUCAGUACAUUUACUGAAGCGCGUAAUCGCGGAACGGCAAUAAAAUGUUACGACUGCGUCACAUCGGGCUUGAUCUCUUAAUUUCGCGGAUCUGCCUGGUUUUUUCUACCGAUUCACUGUCAUCUCGGUCUCUUUCGGUCGCUAAUCCGCAUGCCGUAAUCGUCGAAAGUAAGGCGCUAGAUUAUCAGAAUGUUGCUCGUCUCCUCUCCAUUUUUAUCUCUGCGAGGAUUAAGACUUUGAACCCUUAUCUUCGUAAAACACGAUGCAUCGGAUCGACGUGUCCUUCGAAGAUCGAGUCUCUAAAAAUAGUGUCCAUCUUUCGCGUUAUGCGAAUGCAGCUCGCGUAUGAUUAUUGUAGCUUAAUAAAGCAAGUGUUGAUAAUCACAGUAUCUAGUAUUAAAUUAAGUUGAGUGGUAUUAACUGUAAAGCGAAAAAUUAACGAGAUAUUUCUAAUAGAUACAAUUUGAUUCUGAUAUUGAUACUUUACGUGGUAAAACUGUUGGUAUACAUAUUUUUUUCUAGUAGGAAAAAUCAUUAUUUUAUGAGACUCGAGAGUUAUGACUCUCGAGUGUGCAAAAAGAAAUGUUUCUUUUCUAGAAAUUUGUUAAUCUAAGAAAGUUAGAGACAUUAAUACCUGAAAAUAUGGUACUAAUUUGGAAAAUUAGGAAAGCGUGGGAAAGUUGGAAAUUUGCAAGUUUAGAAACUUUAAAAAAUAUAAAGGGAGAACAUUUGCGCACGUUUCAGACUUGAGAAACUGGACAUUUUUUGGAAAUCCGCGAAUGCUGAUGUUACUAUGGAUGUUUAUAGCUAACAGCUUGGUCGAAAAUCUUGGUGCGUUAUCGUACAGUCUGCGGCGAACAUUGCCGGCGACGGACAUUAAAACCGCGUCGAUGUCGACUGUCGCGAUCGGGUGUUUUGCGAGUUUUCGCCUCGCCGCACUCUCGUUGUUCGCGUCCGCGGGAUUGAUACGGAGGGAAAUGAGUCUCGUCGUUACGGCCGAUUUUAUCGCGCUCGUCGCGCGGAACGCCGUUUCUGCCUUGAAAUACGAGUCACCGGGUGUGCCGAGUUGCACGAGAGAAACCGGAAUACGAGCGACACCGCGCAAUCGAUACUCCGCGAUGCGGUUGAGUUUAAUGCGUCCCUCAUUAUGUCAAUUAUCGUCUUUUUGAGCGAAAUCGCUUGAUCCCGUUUGUCCUUUGAUCCGGCUUGUCCUACUUUUACUCUGCCGAGACGACCUUUCUCUCUCUCUCUCCAUCUCUCUCUUUCUCUGACUAUUUAAAAUUUGGAAUUUAAAGACGUAUAUAUACAUAAUUACGGUAGAUGAUGAAGUAAUUCCUUUGAGCAUGUUUUUCUUUAUAGCCUUAGAAUCUGUUGACAUUGUAACAUCAAAGGAAAACGUCAAACUAUGAAGUCAGACUGAGAGAAAGAUAAGAUAAAAUGGUACGACGAAUGGAGCAAAGUAAACAUAAUAAGUAAUAAAAUCUAAAGUACGCGCAGUAAAACAACAUCGGCGGUUUAAUUUCUCCGUAUUGACGAGCUAUUGUGCUUGUCACGUUUCCUCUACGCAGCUCUUCUCGAUCUCUUACGUAAUGUCUUCUGCUGGAAAGAGAGCGCAGUUGUGCUCAGAGUACGAUCUUUUAAUCGAGACCGUUACGGAAGAAUCGGGAGCGCCGCGAGUUACAGUUGACGAGAAAGUUUCGCUGUGCGAAAUUUUUUCAAUUAAAAACCGUCGGCGCGUACUGUCCACCGUGCAGCGUAGGCGGUGGAUAGCGGAAGAAGAGGGAACAGAGGGGGUACUUUUAAUUACUGCGGCGUCGUAACGCAUGGCCCGCUUCGGUAUAUAAGACCCGGAGCUAGAAAAAUUCCGACGGCAGCUGCGCGAGCGAAUCUCCCGCGACAUGACGAACCGGGUAGACAGCACGGGGUAGGAAUCCACUGCGAAAUUAGGUGGGAAGCGCGCGUUGCAAUCCCCGCGCUGUAUUUUUACGGCGCGCUUUUUAAUUAGAUUAGAGAGCCGCCGACGAAAACACACGCGGCGUCACGCUUCUCGAACUAAUUUCCAUCGAUUUUCGUUGAAUACUUCAUCAGAAUUGGUCGACAGAAUCUCCAUCACGAGCCUCACAGCGAGAUACAGCGUCGGAACAGGAGACAAUCACGUUCGCUUGCUUGCUUGCAUGCGAAUCCGCGUAGAUGUAAAAAAUCCUGCACUCUCAUGACGGAACUAUAAUGGUUCAGGUUGCGUAAAGGAACGUCGGAUCUUUAAUGGACGCAGUGGUGAACGGUCGCGGAAGAGGCGGCACGAGGAGGAGGCCAGGACGCGCGUAUUUAUAGCGGAUGACGGAGGUCGUCACGUGGGAAUGGACGCGCGGCAUCCAUUGAUGCGAUAAAUGUCGCCGUCGGCCAUUAACGACGCUCGCCUUGCCUCAUAAUCAAUGGGAGAGCCCGACGGCAGCUCUCUGGGGUCUCUCUGGGUUCCACCCCGGGUUUUCCCCCGCUUCCUCUCACCCUCCGUCCCGACCACUCCCGCACUCUCCACCGAGCAGCCGCGCAGGACAAAUUAAUUCUCUCCGUUUUUCUGCCUUCCAAUUACCGUUACCGCCGCUACCGGAUCACGUUGUCUACCCUGAAGAAGAGAGCGGAGUAUUUGGGAGCGGAUCCACUCGUCGAGCUUUCAGCGCCGAGUGGAGAAUGGCGUCGUGAUGCCUGCACGCGACGUGGUAUUUUGUGGCCGCAUAACGGGAAGGGCUAGAUCGCGCAAAUGAUCGUUUUCCGCCGACAACGAUCCGCUGACAAGAUAACGGUCGAUCUCUCUUUGAUUGUCCGCCCAAGCGUACUUGGAACAUUUUUUGUGGAGACAUAAAAAUCUGUGAGGGCUAUUAAACCUUAUUUUAUAAUUCUAGCAAUUAAACUUGGAUUUUUCCAUCACGUUGCUUCGUGCGGAUGCAAUUCCGAAUUUAACGAUAUAUGUACAAGAAUAUCAAACUCUUGAUCAUCUUGCAUCAUAUCUUUUUAAAAAUAAAGAAAGUUGUAUAAAUAAACGAAAGUUCAUUUCUAUAAUUCACAAGCUCCCUUUCCAUCACGGAUGAAUCAAGCGAGUAGAACUGUGACGCAAUUUGCUGUGAAUUUGAUAGAAACUAAUUCGUAAACGUGGACCACACUUAGUAAAGGGAGAAGCCGCGACGAAAGGGGAACCUUCUUUCGAGAGGGAUUCCGAGGCUCGCGUCCGCAUUUAACGAGAUAAUAACCGCGCCAUUACGCAUUUAAUUCCCUGCGUUUAAGAUGCGCGUCAGCGAUAAGACGUGACAAAUAUUGGCCGUAACAGUCGCCCGCCGUGCUGACACGGCCGGCUCGUGGCGCAUGAUGACGCCGAUGAGGAGACCGACCAUGGGUGCGAUGGAAAAAAGGAAUGUGCAGAGCACGAGCACGCGCGCCUCUCAUCGAGAAGGGAUACGACAGCAGAAACCUGUUUCUGUUCAGAUAUCGCCGAUGCUGCGAUCCUACCGAUCGUUUUUUUCCGGCGUAAUUCUUCCUCGUUUGACUUUUGCCAUUCGCGAUUUCGAUAAGGCAAGUGACACCUGAUACGUCCUGUGUAUACAUAUCGAUGUGAUAUGAUCAUAUCGCGUAUAACUGAGCGAACGCACGAGAGAUAAAUUAAGAGAAAUAAAUUUAUAUCUUUUUUACGCAGAAACACGCAAUUUCCCAAAACCGGGGGAGAUGAUAAAAGGAACGAUAUUACACACGCCGAUAAGCAACAUCAGGCUUUUAUGCAUAAAACGCAAUGUUUUAAUCGCGAUUGAAACGGUACAAAUAACAACGCACGUGCGGGCCGACUGUUCUCCUCUUCCAAAUUAAUUUGAUAACUCGUACAAUCAAAGGCGCGCGUCACCCGUUCAUUAAUUGAACUUAAAGUGACGAAGCGUAAGCUUGCACAAUGCUAUAAUAUUGCGCCUCCAGCUUAAUUCGCACGUGCGCGAUUCGAGAUCCGGACGGAGGAGCGCGAAGGACUUUUUCCGAGUUGUCCCGGGACCGGACAAGAAAUUCAAGCCGACCGUGAACCAUGUACGUGGAAAUUAACAGCUUAACUUGGUUACCUAAGAAGAGCUCCCGGUAGUCCCUUGAAAGUGCCACGCGCUCGCGAGCUCGACCCGGAAAUUCGCCGGAGCACGACGGCGAAACUUAACCCAUUAUAUUUCUCCGUACCCCGUCGACCGACCUCCUUCCACCAUAUCCUCUCCGCAAUAUCUACGUCAUUAUUUCCUCCGCGCUGUAUAAUCUCGCGCGACACAUCCCGAGACUUUGGCCGGCCUUCCACAAUCGGUCGUAGGUGUGUAAUUUCGCUUAAAGCACCGAGUGCAUCCGAGGUGUCACCUUACGAUUCUGUGUUAUUCUCGCAAAUAGGAUAUCGCAGAUUUGUCAAUCUUCUUUUCUUUCCGCCCACAUCCUUUGGCAAAUUAAAAUAAAACAAAUAUCUAACCAUUCUAUCCUCAAAACUUUUCAUUUCCGGUGUUAAAUAUUUUACUAAGAAUUUGUAACUGGCUGCAACUUUACGACUGGUGUUAAGAUAUCGAAAUUGGCUAAAAGGUUCUUUGUUUGUUGUUUUUUUGAAUAUUAUUCAGUACCAUCCUUUGAUACUCGACUAAAAUAUCGAUUCAUGUCUUUGCGAGACCCUAUUUUUCUCGGUCGAAAAACCCCGGCGCAAUCAGACUGCAAUCUCUACCGAGAGGAGGAGCAGCGGCGAAGCCCGCGAUAAAAAUUCGCAGCAAGCGGCAAUAAAGCGCAUCAAGCCGCGGCAGCUAAUUGCUGCGCUCGGCAAUAAUCGGCCGCGCGCCGAGCCACGAGCAGCAAUUAUUUUUACGACGAGGAUGAUAUUGUCCAUUUAUUUAGCGGGGCUUGGCGCGCGUCGCGGCACUGCGUUGCCGAUACGGGCGUCCGUGUUAACCCGCGGCGUGACGGUAACGGUCGCAUAAAUUUCCGGUAUUUCCUGCGGUGCCGCGACGACUUUAUUCCGACGAUUCCUCCACGUGAUACUGAUACGUGCGCAGUGUUUUCACCAAUCCGCGAUCUCCUGUGUGAUUAGCGCGAGGAAAGGAAACAGAGUAACGACCAUUGAAUCUAUUUAACCGCGGAGGAAGGAUAACGGUUCGCCAGAAAUAUUUAAUCGGGUACGAACGGUAACGCUAUCCGGGGCGGAGAUCUGACCGCGAGAAUAAAGAUAACGCUAAUCAGAGUUAUUUGAGCAGGUCUGCGCCACAAGCCUGAUGUAACUUUUAAAGUCCGGACUUUUAGGUCCUGAUGUUUCGCAGCACAAAAGUCGCGUCGUUAUAGUGGUCUCGGUUAACUAACUUUUGCUAACUGUGGUGAUAUCCUCGAGUUUCUAAUGAAACUGUUUCGCCUUAAAAAGAUGACUGCGCGCCGCAAAGUGUUUGCGUACUUUGAGAUAAAUAUUUGACUUUUAUUACAUUAGAAAGUAAUGUUAGAAGAGCAGUGUCGCGUUGCAAGGUUCUAUGAGACAUUGCAGAGGAUUACACGCAACUGAAAUAAUUGACGAUCAAUCGACUGAUUCGUGGCCUUGCGGCGCGGGCGAUGAUCAAGAUCGUCGUAGAUGGAAGUCGGUGCGCCACAAAAGACACGUAAGAAGCCGACAGAAAUAAUUACGGUGGAAGUGUAGGCGUGGACUAGGAAAUUACGAGGAAACGCUUAUUAACCGCCACCAGGAGGAUCGCGCAAGCGACAGGGACGACGUGGGCAAGAACCUGAGGAACCAAGACGGAACCAAGGCCUUACUGGUUUUACUCAAUUACUUAUUUGUUAAAAGAACACUACUCAACUUAUCGAUUAAUCGUACAAGAGUAACCUUAUAAAGGCAUUGACUAAAUAGAAAAAUUACGUAGUUUAGAAAAUAUCUAGCUGCCAAAAAUGUAUGUCUCGAAUUAAAAGAAUUGUAUUUGACAAUACUUGAUAAAAAGUGGCAAUUUUUGACAUGAACCAUUUAACCUGGUUAGUUGUACUCUUACGUCAACUUAUGAGCGACUAUUAAUUAAAAUGAAUGACAAUUAGGGUCUCUGAAAAUAUUCCUGGCACUAGCCGAGCCAUGUCGAAAUUUAGAUCUGGCGUUCAGCGUGUUAAUUACUCACGGCUGUUUUACCAUGGCCCCUGGCUCUCAUCGGCGAAACGACGAGGAACACGCAUUCAUCAGAAUCGUAAAUUUUCUAUACGAAUGGUUUAAUGCGCCUACACAAUAAACUACGGAAGAGUGUAUUUAUACGCGCGUAAAGUAUAGAUAAUUUAUAACUAAGCGGAUCAUACUCGGAGGAUAACUUUAUCUAGACUAUGCCAUUUUCCGAAAAUAAAUAAUGAACAUAUUUAUA
Ooceraea biroi (clonal raider ant) is the source of this 16216-nucleotide long non-coding RNA. RefSeq lists it as uncharacterized. Lineage: Eukaryota; Metazoa; Arthropoda; Insecta; Hymenoptera; Formicidae. The record is from RefSeq and is a predicted model, not a curated record.